UGGGGAAUAUUGGACAAUGGGCGAAAGCCUGAUCCAGCCAUGCCGCGUGUGUGAAGAAGGCCUUUUGGUUGUAAAGCACUUUAAGCGAGGAGGAGGCUACUUGGAUUAAUACUCUAGGAUAGUGGACGUUACUCGCAGAAUAAGCACCGGCUAACUCUGUGCCAGCAGCCGCGGUAAUACAGAGGGUGCGAGCGUUAAUCGGAUUUACUGGGCGUAAAGCGUGCGUAGGCGGCUUUUUAAGUCGGAUGUGAAAUCCCUGAGCUUAACUUAGGAAUUGCAUUCGAUACUGGGAGGCUAGAGUAUGGGAGAGGAUGGUAGAAUUCCAGGUGUAGCGGUGAAAUGCGUAGAGAUCUGGAGGAAUACCGAUGGCGAAGGCAGCCAUCUGGCCUAAUACUGACGCUGAGGUACGAAAGCAUGGGGAGCAAACAGG
This 430-nucleotide ribosomal RNA is filed under the name Brucella melitensis. RNAcentral describes it as "partial 16S ribosomal RNA". It matches the Rfam family "Bacterial small subunit ribosomal RNA", at positions 355 to 776 of the family's 1533-position model. Lineage: Bacteria; Pseudomonadati; Pseudomonadota; Alphaproteobacteria; Hyphomicrobiales; Brucellaceae. RNAcentral also lists the same sequence under 1 other name. The record is from RNAcentral.